GUUUAGCCCUGAUAGCAGCGGUUAUCCUGACGGGCUAGGCGAGUUGCGGUGGCUAGGUUUUGGUGUGGCUACGUGGGAAAGAGACGCACCAAACCGUAGCCACCGCCUCGCCUAGCAGACAAUAACGGAUAGCAGGAUUAGCU
Molecule: unclassified non-coding RNA, 143 nt
Filed under: Psychrobacter sp. LV10R520-6
Lineage: Bacteria; Pseudomonadati; Pseudomonadota; Gammaproteobacteria; Moraxellales; Moraxellaceae
Description: Flavo-1 RNA
Source: RNAcentral